Molecule: ribosomal RNA, 492 nt
Filed under: uncultured bacterium
Lineage: Bacteria
Description: partial 16S ribosomal RNA
Rfam family: Bacterial small subunit ribosomal RNA
Source: RNAcentral
AGUGAACGCUGGCGGUAGGCCUAACACAUGCAAGUCGAACGGCAGCACCGUAAGUGCUUGCUCUUACGGGUGGCGAGUAGCGGCCGGGUGAGGAAUACAUCGGAAGCUACUUUUUCGUGGGGGAUAACUUAGGGAAACUUACGCUAAUUCCGCAUACGACCUACGGGUGAAAGCAGGGGAUCUUCGGACAUUGCGCGCUUGAAGGUGCCGAUGUCGGAUUAGCCUGUUGGCGGGGUAGAGGCCCACCAAGGCGACGAUCCGUAGCCGGUCUGAGAGGCUGAGCAGCGACACUGGAACUGAGACACGGUCAAGACCCCUACGGGAGGGAGCAGUGGGGGAUAGGAGACAAGGGGCGCAAGCCUGAUCCAGCCAUAGCGCGUGGGUGAAGAAGGCCUUCGGGUUGUAAAGCCCUUUUGUUGGGAAAGAAAAGCAGCAGGUUAAUACCCCGCUGUUCUGACGGUAGCCAAAGAAUAAGCACCGGCUAACUUCGUG